UACGGACGUUUCGGGAGCCCGACGUUUCGGGACCCGGAUGUUUCGGGACUAGACAACACGUUUCGGGACUUCGAUUAACUUGUUUCGGGACUUCAGAUUCAUCCUCCUGUUCAUCUUCAUCAUCGGGUUCAGCAACUGAUGAACCAAGGGAGGCUAAAGACACGUGAAAUGUGGCAUCAGCUGCAGCUACAAACUGAAAGAAUAUAAUAUAUUUUUAUAGAAGUGUCUAAUAGGGAUUCAUCUACUGAGUGUUCCUGACAUGAAGAAUUAAUUCAUCCAUUUUUAAACCUUAAUUGUCCUAUGUGGAAGCAAAUGCCAAGGAUAUUUCGUUACUAAUUUCCAAUUAUAUGUUCUUAAUUAUUUCAAGAUGUUUAAUACAAAUGUUCUUAAUGUUAAUUUGCAUUCACGUAAAUAUAACGUAUACCAGUACCUCUUCUGUAUCUCUUCUGUAUCAGUAGGUGUUUCCAAGCACCGGGCGCAAACCCACUGGAGGUCUUCUUGCUGUUUCCCUAUUCGUCUAUACUGGUCACGGCUGAUUCCUGUCAUAUUAUUAAAAUUUGUGUUCUUUUACAUUGUUCAUUUGAUGGAAUUUUUUAAUCAUCAUUAUACAUCUGCUUUCCAUUCUUAUUUUUCAUUAAGUAAAAGAAUAAAAUCAUA
Ostrea edulis (European flat oyster) is the source of this 657-nucleotide long non-coding RNA. RefSeq lists it as uncharacterized. The record is from RefSeq and is a predicted model, not a curated record. The transcript is spliced from 2 exons. Lineage: Eukaryota; Metazoa; Mollusca; Bivalvia; Ostreida; Ostreidae.